AGUGAACGCUGGCGGUAGGCCUAACACAUGCAAGUCGAACGGCAGCACAGUAAGAGCUUGCUCUUACGGGUGGCGAGUGGCGGACGGGUGAGGAAUACAUCGGAAUCUACUUUUUCGUGGGGGAUAACGUAGGGAAACUUACGCUAAUACCGCAUACGACCUACGGGUGAAAGCAGGGGAUCUUCGGACCUUGCGCGAUUGAAUGAGCCGAUGUCGGAUUAGCUAGUUGGCGGGGUAAAGGCCCACCAAGGCGACGAUCCGUAGCUGGUCUGAGAGGAUGAUCAGCCAAACUGGAACUGAGACAAGGUCCAGACUCCUACGGGAGGCAGCAGUGGGGAAUAUUGGACAAUGGGCGCAAGCCUGAUCCAGCCAUACCGCGUGGGUGAAGAAGGCCUUCGGGUUGUAAAGCCCUUUUGUUGGGAAAGAAAAGCAGCAGGUUAAUACCCCGCUGUUCUGACGGUACCCAAAGAAUAAGCACCGGCUAACUUCGUG
This 492-nucleotide ribosomal RNA is filed under the name uncultured bacterium. RNAcentral's name for it is "partial 16S ribosomal RNA". It matches the Rfam family "Bacterial small subunit ribosomal RNA", at positions 29 to 507 of the family's 1533-position model. The record is from RNAcentral.